UACAGAGGGUGCAAGCGUUAGUCGGAAUUACUGGGCGUAAAGCGUGCGUAGACGGUUAUGUAAGUCGGGGGUGAAAGCCCCGGGCUCAACCUGGGAAUUGCAUUCGAGACUGCGUAGCUAGGGUGCGGAAGAGGGAAGCGGAAUUUCCGGUGUAGCGGUGAAAUGCGUAGAUAUCAAGUGGAACACCAGUGGCGAAGGCGAGUCUCUGGACAUUUCCUGACGCUGAGGCACGAAAGCCAGGGGAGCAAACGGG
RNAcentral lists this ribosomal RNA (253 nucleotides) under uncultured bacterium. Its description in RNAcentral is "partial 16S ribosomal RNA". It matches the Rfam family "Bacterial small subunit ribosomal RNA", at positions 524 to 776 of the family's 1533-position model. The record is from RNAcentral.